AAAGAUUUUCUAAUAAAAAAAAAAAAUCUGUUCUUAUCAGUUUAAUACAUAUUAAACGGAUUUUUAGCACCAUGAGCUGAAAAAGGGGCUUGCUCCGUUCACUCCACGCAUCGACCCAGUAUUGCAGCACCUCUGGGAACGGUGCACCCUUG
This 152-nucleotide small nuclear RNA is filed under the name Cottoperca gobio. Its description in RNAcentral is "U2 spliceosomal RNA (ENSCGOG00000007096.1)". It matches the Rfam family "U2 spliceosomal RNA". From Rfam's summary of the family: U2 is a small nuclear RNA (snRNA) component of the spliceosome (involved in pre-mRNA splicing). Complementary binding between U2 snRNA (in an area lying towards the 5' end but 3' to hairpin I) and the branchpoint sequence (BPS) of the intron results the bulging out of an unpaired adenosine, on the BPS, which initiates a nucleophilic attack at the intronic 5' splice site, thus starting the first of two transesterification reactions that mediate splicing. Lineage: Eukaryota; Metazoa; Chordata; Actinopteri; Perciformes; Bovichtidae. The record is from Rfam by way of RNAcentral.